CACGCAGGCGGUCAUACAAGUCAGCUGUUAAAUGCAUGGGCUUAACCGAUGCAUGCGGUUGAAACUGUAUGGCUAGAGUACUGGAGAGGUAAGUGGAAUUCCCGGUGUAGCGGUGAAAUGCGUAGAUAUCGGGAAGAACACCAGUGGCGGAGGCGGCUUACUGGCCAGUAACUGACGCUGAGGUGCGAAAGCCAGGGGAGCGAACC
Molecule: ribosomal RNA, 206 nt
Filed under: uncultured bacterium
Lineage: Bacteria
Description: partial 16S ribosomal RNA
Rfam family: Bacterial small subunit ribosomal RNA
Source: RNAcentral